AUGCGCCGCCGCCGCCGCCGCGGGGAGGGAGGGGGCGGGGAGGGGCGCGGCGGGCGGGGCGGGGGCGGGGGCGGGGCCGGCUCAGCCGCGGGACUCGCGCGGGUCAGCGGCGCGCGGGGCCGCCCCGGAGUGUGCUGGGCCGGGACCCGCCGGGAGCCGCGCGCCGCAUGGUCCCCGCGAGCGCGAGUCGCUGCGGUCCUCGGGGCGGGGCGGGGCGGGGCGGGGGGGCUCCGGAGCCGCGGGGCUCAGGCGGCUACCUCGGGGCGCUCCGUGCGGCUCUCUCUAACCCGCUUUCCCCGGCCCGUGGAAGGAGGUCUGCGCGCGCCCUUCCUCCCCAGCCGCCCCGGCUUCGGCCCGCGAGGCCACUGCGAGGCCAGUGUCGGGGGGCGGCGGGGACCCGGGGCCCGGGGGGGGGGGGGGGGAGGCGCGUCCGGCCCGCGCUGCCCGGGGCGCUCGAAGGAGCUGCUGCUGCUGCUGCUGCCCGGCUCUGCCUUCCCGGGCCCCCGAGUCUGCGAAAGUUGGGGACGGGGUCGUAGCUCCCGCCGCGCUGGGCGCGUUCCUCGCGGCCCCCUGCCCCGCCGGGCUCCGCCGUGGCGUCCGGGCCACCCCCGGGUUCCGCUCGAGCGCCGGGCGGCGGUGCAGGGUGGCUGCCGGCGCCCCGUCCUGGAGCCUGCGGAGCGGAGCUCGCCGCUGCCCGGGGUCGCGGGGACGCGGGGACGCCAGCCCGGCCGGGCCUCUGCGCGCGCGGCCCUGCCCUCCGGGGAGCGGAGUCGGUCGAGCUUCCCGGUCUUGCUCAGCGCCGGGGCGAACGCCUGGGCGUGGGGGCGCGGGCGGCAGGUGCACCAGACCCAGAGCCUCGCCUACAUCUCCGUGUCAUCCGACCGCGUCCCCUCUUCCCGGGGCUUAGAGAAUUUGCGUCCAGGUACUUGGUGGAGCAAGUUCACGGUCCUCCCGGUCUUCGCAGAAGGGCGAUUCAACUUCCCACCUGGGCUAUUUCAGGACCUACGCCGGGCGCCGGUGGGGAGCGCCAGCCGCGAGCCCCGGACCUCGGAGACGGACGACUGGUGA
RNAcentral lists this long non-coding RNA (1068 nucleotides) under Canis lupus dingo (dingo). Its description in RNAcentral is "lncRNA (ENSCAFG00020013429.1)". The record is from RNAcentral. Lineage: Eukaryota; Metazoa; Chordata; Mammalia; Carnivora; Canidae.